GACCAUCUCUGUGGGCGGAGAGAUGUUCAACAGAAGCUUUAAAGUAAAGACCUGAGAUAUUCUACGUCUAUACAGAUACUGACAAAGAGAGAGAAGGUCGGCCUCUUAAUCCAGUUUAUGUUUGUGCAGAAAUCAGACUAAUGUUUAUAACAGCAGCACAGUUUCAGUUUCAACAAACAUGUUUUCAUUUUAGACAAACUCCAAACUCCAAAACAGGCGUGUAAAAAGAAACAGACUGAAGACUAAACAUCAUCCAGCUGUGGUCAGAAACACUCAUCAGAAAUCAUCAGCCUCAGACCGCGGCGGCGGCGAGGAGAGAGGAGAGAGGAGAGAGGAGAGAGGAGAGAGGAGAGCGGUACAAACGAGUUUUUAAUGAAAAACAGCUGAAAACAAGAGAAAGAGCAACAAGAGCGAGGAAGACGAGGAAACACAAACAUCUGAUCACACCCUGAUGAUCGGACCAGGAGGAGACCGCUGAGUCUGGACCCAACCACCACAGAAGAAGAAACACAGCCAGGAGGACUCCACAAGGAAC
Molecule: non-coding RNA, 535 nt
Organism: Xyrichtys novacula (pearly razorfish)
Lineage: Eukaryota; Metazoa; Chordata; Actinopteri; Labriformes; Labridae
Source: the annotation of a GenBank genome assembly